UCGCCCUACGGGAGGCAGCAGUGGGGGAUAUUGCACAAUGGGGGGAACCCUGAUGCAGCGACGCCGCGUGGGUGAAGAAGCGCCUCGGCGCGUAAAGCCCUGUCAGCAGGGAAGAAAAUGACGGUACCUGAAGAAGAAGCCCCGGCUAACUACGUGCCAGCAGCCGCGGUAAUACGUAGGGGGCGAGCGUUAUCCGGAAUUACUGGGCGUAGAGGGUGCGGAGGUGGUUUCUUAAGUCAGAGGUGAAAGGCUACGGCUCAACCGUAGUAAGCCUUUGAAACUGGGGAACUUGAGUGCAGGAGAGG
Molecule: ribosomal RNA, 305 nt
Filed under: uncultured bacterium
Lineage: Bacteria
Description: bacterial SSU rRNA
Rfam family: Bacterial small subunit ribosomal RNA
Source: RNAcentral